Molecule: small RNA, 28 nt
Filed under: Bombyx mori (domestic silkworm)
Lineage: Eukaryota; Metazoa; Arthropoda; Insecta; Lepidoptera; Bombycidae
Description: ovarian small RNA-27859
Source: RNAcentral
UCCUCUCCAGGCAAUGUCUUAUUGUGCA